GAUGAACGCUGGCGGUAUGCUUAACACAUGCAAGUCGAACGGGGACCUUCGGGUCCUAGUGGCGGACGGGUGAGUAACGCGUGAGAACAUGCCUUUAGAUUGGGGACAACAGUUGGAAACGACUGCUAAUACCGAAUGUGCCUUAGGGUGAAAGAUUAAUUGUCUAAAGAUUGGCUCGCGUCAGAUUAGCUAGUUGGAGUGGUAACGGCACACCAAGGCGACGACCUGUACUUGGUCUGAGAGGAUGACCAGGCACACUGGAACUGAGACACGGUCCAGACUCCUACGGGAGGCAGCAGUGGGGAAUUUUCCGCAAUGGGCGCAAGCCUGACGGAGCAAUCUCGCGUGAGGGAUGACGGCCUAUGGGUUGUAAAACCCUCUUUUUUCAGGGAGGAAUAAAGUGACGUGUACCUGAAGAUAAGCAUCGGCUAACUCCGCGCCAGCAGCCGCGGUAACU
RNAcentral lists this ribosomal RNA (457 nucleotides) under uncultured cyanobacterium. Its description in RNAcentral is "bacterial SSU rRNA". It matches the Rfam family "Bacterial small subunit ribosomal RNA", at positions 28 to 525 of the family's 1533-position model. Lineage: Bacteria; Bacillati; Cyanobacteriota. The record is from RNAcentral.